UACGGGGGGGGGCAAGCGUUGUUCGGAAUUACUGGGCGUAAAGGGCUCGUAGGCGGCCGACUAAGUCAGACGUGAAAUCCCCCGGCUUAACCGGGGAACUGCGUCUGAUACUGGACGGCUUGAAUUCGGGAGAGGGAUGCGGAAUUCCAGGUGUAGCGGUGAAAUGCGUAGAUAUCAGGUGGAACACCGGUGGCGAAGGCGGUGGCCCUGGGCCGGAACUGACGCUGAGGAGCGAAAGCGUGGGGAGCAAACAGG
Molecule: ribosomal RNA, 255 nt
Filed under: uncultured bacterium
Lineage: Bacteria
Description: partial 16S ribosomal RNA
Rfam family: Bacterial small subunit ribosomal RNA
Source: RNAcentral